AAAUAGGUGGCUUUAAAUCAGCUGCCUUGGGAGGAACACUCUUGCAGCAGAGACCUGAGACUGGUUGUGCAUGGGCAUGGCUUUGCAGAACACUCUGGAAGCAGUGUGGCUGGGGCUCCUCCUCAGCUUUCUCUGGAAAGCUACAGAGAGCAAAGACCAAGUACUUCAGACUUCCACUGUCUUAUCUUCAGAGGGAGCUGUGGCGGAAAUCUCCUGCAAUCACUCUAUAUCCAAUGCUUACAACUUCUUCUGGUACAUUCACCUCCCAGAAUCCGCUCCAAGACUCCUUAUUAAGGGCACGAGGACUGUUCAGCAGGGACGCUACAACAUGUCUUAUGAGCGGUUCUCCUCGACACUGUUCAUCGCCCAGGUGCAGGUGGCAGAUGUUGCCACUUACUACUGUGCCCUGGAGGACACAGAGGCAGGGAACCCACGAGGAGCUGAACAGAAAUGGGCAGAGAUCACAACCUCUGCAGGAGGUGGAAAAGAGAUGAGCAAGAACUGCUUUCUCCCCCUAAUGUAGUGUCCCCAAGAUUUUCCUCCUGGAACAGCUAUCAGAAAACCUUGACCUCCAGACAUAUUCUAUAUUAGCAAAAGUACAUAGGAAAAUAUGCUUUUUGGGGGUGAUUCAAUAAUGGUC
This is a non-coding RNA of Talpa occidentalis (Iberian mole), 640 nucleotides long. The record is from the annotation of a RefSeq genome assembly. NCBI's taxonomy places the organism in Eukaryota, Metazoa, Chordata, Mammalia, Eulipotyphla, Talpidae.